This 495-nucleotide ribosomal RNA is filed under the name uncultured bacterium. RNAcentral describes it as "partial 16S ribosomal RNA". It matches the Rfam family "Bacterial small subunit ribosomal RNA", at positions 28 to 507 of the family's 1533-position model. The record is from RNAcentral.
GACGAACGCUGGCGGCGUGCCUAAUACAUGCAAGUCGAACGCUGAAGGAGGAGCUUGCUCUUCUGGAUGAGUUGCGAACGGGUGAGUAACGCGUAUGUAACCUGCCUGGUAGCGGGGGAUAACUCUUGGAAACGAUAGCUAAUACCGCAUAACAGUAGAUGUUGCAUGACAUUUACUUAAAAGGUGCAAUUGCAUCACUACCAGAUGGACCUGCGUUGUAUUAGCUAGUUGGUGGGGUAACGGCUCACCAAGGCGACGAUACAUAGCCGACCUGAGAGGGUGAUCGGCCACACUGGGACUGAGACACGGCCCAGACUCCUACAGGAGGCAGCAGUAGGGAAUCUUCGGCAAUGGACGGAAGUCUGACCGAGCAACGCCGCGUGAGUGAAGAAGGGUUUCGGAUCGUAAAGCUCUGUUGUAAGAGAAGAACGAGUGUGAGAGUGGAAAGUUCACACUGUGACGGUAUCUUACCAGAAAGGGACGGCUAACUACGUG